AAACCUCCCAAUCACAUGACAUCACCCACCUCAAGCCUUCAUGUUGGUUUGCUGAUAGGAGGGUCUACUCACAGAGGAGGCUGGAAAUAAUCAGUAUAACUACUGACAGACUGACAAUACCUUUCAUAUCAAUACAGUUAUUACCAAACACAAAAGACAACAUGAUCCUCAUAUUCCUAAGCAUUCAUUUGAACAAUGUUCUGGUUUCAGGUUUGUCUCUCAGUGACCAAGUCCACCAGAGUCCAGCUGAUAUGUUCAAACAACCAGGAGAAGAAGCCAAAAUCAACUGUUUGCACACCAUUUCAACAUAUAAUCAAAUCCUCUGGUACAAGCAGACAAACAGACAACUACAGUUUCUGGGAUACAUGAAUGUUAAUACUGGAUAUCCAGAGGAUGGAGCAGAUUUAGUGGAUGUGAUGAGCAGCUCAGUGUGUUUCUAAGAGGAGGGACUUGCACAUUUUCUUCACACCUCCACCAACCAACUUGGUUUUCUGAUUGGAGGACUUACGUACAUGAAAUUAGGAGGGAAUCAUCAGCAUACAUGCAUGGAUAGUGAUGAAAACAGCAGCAGAAACAAGACUGAGUUUAAAUACAGGCAGAAAACACAACAUGUUGAUCGCCGUCUGCUUCAUAACCUUGAAUGUUAUCAUGGUUUCAGGUUCCUCUCUAAGUGACCAAGUCAAACAGAUUCCAGACCAGAUGUUCUACAAACCUCAAGAAACAGCCAAAAUAACCUGUUCCCACAGUAUUCAAAACUACGAUCAAAUCCUUUGGUACAAGACGUC
Molecule: long non-coding RNA, 785 nt
Organism: Acanthopagrus latus (yellowfin seabream)
Lineage: Eukaryota; Metazoa; Chordata; Actinopteri; Spariformes; Sparidae
Exons: 4
Source: RefSeq, a predicted model, not a curated record